This 494-nucleotide ribosomal RNA is filed under the name uncultured bacterium. Its description in RNAcentral is "partial 16S ribosomal RNA". It matches the Rfam family "Bacterial small subunit ribosomal RNA", at positions 28 to 507 of the family's 1533-position model. The record is from RNAcentral.
GACGAACGCUGACGGCGUGCUUAACACAUGCAAGUCGAACGGUGAAGCGCCUGCCUGUUUGGGGGGGGUGGAUGAGUGGCGAACGGGUGAGUAACACGUGAGUAACCGGCCCCCGUCUUCUGGAGAACCGCGUGAAAGUAUUGCUAAUACGGGAUAUUCGGGGUCUGUCGCAUGAUGGGUCUGGGAAAGAUAUUGUUUCGGUGGGGGAUGGGCUCGCGGACUAGCAGCUUGUUGGGGGGGUGAUGGCCUACCAAGGCGGUGACGGGUAGCCGGCCUGGGAGGGUGGACGAUACCAGUGGGGCUGAGAGGCGGCCCAGACUACGGGGGGAGGCAGCGGUGGGGAUUAGUGAACGAUGGGAGCAAGGCUGAAGCAGCGACGCGGCGUGAGAGAUGGAGGCCUUCGGGUUGUGCACCUCUUUCGGGAGAGAAGCCGGCGUGCCUCGUGUGUGGGUGGGUUGACGGUAGCUGGAUAAGAAGCGCCGGCUAACUACGUG